GUCGGACGAACGGAGGAGAGCUUGCUCUCCAAUGUUAGUGGCGAACGGGUGCGUAACACGUGAGCAACCUACCCUUUGGCGGGGGAUAGCCGGCCUAACGGCCGGGUAAUACCGCGUAUUGCAUCACUGUCGCAUGGCGGUGAUGUGAAAGCCUUCGGGCACCAGAGGAGGGGCUCGCGGCCUAUCAGCUUGUUGGUGGGGUAACGGCUUACCAAGGCUACGACGGGUAGCUGGUCUGAGAGGAUGAUCAGCCACAUUGGGACUGAGAUACGGCCCAGACUCCUACGGGAGGCAGCAGUGGGGAAUAUUGCGCAAUGGCCGAAAGGCUGACGCAGCGACGCCGUGUGUGGGAUGAAGGCCCUCGGGUUGUAAACCACUGUCAGGAGGGACGAACGCUCGGCUUGACCGAGUUUGACGGUACCUCCAGAGGAAGCACCGGCUAACUCCGUGCCAGCAGCCGCGGUAACACGGAGGGUGCAAGCGUUGUCCGGAUUCACUGGGCGUAAAGCGCACGUAGGCGGUUCCGUAAGUCACCUGUGAAAUCCCGGGGCUCAACUCCGGGGCUGCAGGUGAUACUGCAGAGCUAGAGCUCGGUAGAGGCAAGUGGAAUUCCCGGUGUAGCGGUGGAAUGC
RNAcentral lists this ribosomal RNA (632 nucleotides) under uncultured bacterium. RNAcentral's name for it is "bacterial SSU rRNA". It matches the Rfam family "Bacterial small subunit ribosomal RNA", at positions 61 to 689 of the family's 1533-position model. The record is from RNAcentral.